UUGAACCAUACCUCAUUUUGUGAAUCAUUGAAGUAACAAGCUCCUGUAGCUUGCCUUCCUUUUGUGAAUCACAGAAACCGUUACUUCAUUUUUGGCUUUUUAAUUUUAUUUGAAAAUGGAUUCUAAGAAGACACCUAACCGCUAUCAUCUUGCCUGCAAGUUUUGCCUGAAGCUUACAGGCAAAUUGCCUUUUCAUCUGAGGAGAGCCUGCAUGAAACAUGCAGAUAACCAAGAAAUUGAAUUUGUGAUGCAAGAAGCAAGAGGAAAGAUGAGAGCAAUCCUGGAAGGGCUAAGUAUUGUUAAUUAUGAAGACCUGGACUAUGAGGAUUCUGAUCCUAAACAAUUUUUUGUCCAGUUCCUGGAGAAAAAUGGCUGCUAUAUUAGAGGGAAGCAAGAGUCAGCAAGCUGUGCCAUGAAAGAGAGCAUCCGUCCAUCAAAUAUGGACAGAAACAAGGUGAACGUCAAUUGGCCAGCAGAUGAAGUAGUGGAGACACAGGCCCCUUGUAAAGGUCUGGACCUGUCACAUAAGAUGAUAAGCCCCAGCCCCUUGAAUGCUGAAAAUGGGCAGAAACAGCAACCUACACUUCAGUCACUUCAGGAGAGCAUUGACUUCCUAAUGUCACAAUUGGCCAAAAUGCAUGAGAAGGUAAACUCCAGACCCUUGAAUGCUGAAGCAGUGCAGAAACAGCGACCUGUUGUACAACAGGGCCUACCCAUCGAGUCAGAUGAGGAGGACUUUGUAAGCCCUGUGAAUGAACAAGAGGUGGAGAUGCAGGGACCUGAGCUUGACCUCCCCAUCGAGUCAGAUGAGGAGAACUUCGUAAGCCCUGUGAAUGAACAAGAGGUGGAGAUGCAGGGACCUGAGCUUGACCUUCCUGUUGAGUCAGAGGAGACCAAUGCAGACCCCUUGACUGAUGACAACGAUGAUGAUGAUUAUGAUGAUGACGGCAAGGAAUAUGAAGAGAUGGAGACACACAAUCUUGUUGGAGGGCUUGAACAGAGCGAGACCAAUUCAAAUUACGUUCUGCUUAGAAGAAGAAUGAUGGCUGCAGGCAUGUAUAGAAAACACUCUCUUGAAUGUGGUGUUCUUGCUCGCUUCCGAAAAUAUCUGCAGCAAGAAUUACAAGUAAGAAGAUGGUCACAAGAGGUGGCAAAUGUGGCCAGGUUUUUGUAUUUUGUGGACCCCUCCAAGGCAUCCUUAAGCUUCCUGACCGACACACAGAAGACGUUGGACUUUUUUACGGCACUUGAGAAUUUGGGGAACGCUCAUGCCACAAUGUUUUCGUACCUGAAACAUAUCAAGAGGUUUGUGAGAUCUCAAACAGAUACUUUGUCCAGCGGAUCCCAUCAAAGUGAAGAACUUGUCGGAAAAUGCAAACGCUAUCUCGACAUGACCUCGCCUCUGCAGCGAAGGCUGAGCAAGGGAAUUUCGGCCAGCGUUGUGGGGAAAAAGUUUGACUAUCUGACAUCUGCAAAAAAGGACCCCUCAGAGUGUCAACGGAUCCUCAUAGUGGCCAGACCAACAUUUGAGCAGAUAAUAAAGAAGGCCAAGAUGGGUGGACGUCUUUUGGAGAAGGAAAAGUCUUAUGUCGUCUAUUACUUGGAGGCACUGAUUGUCUUAAAAUACCUCCAGCGACCAGGGGUUGUGCAAAAUAUGACUGUGGAAGAAUGGUGCAAGAGGAUACCAUCUGAUUGCAAAACCCGUAUGGUCAUUGGUGUAAAAAGGCAUAAGACAUCCACUCAGCAAGUCGCCUCUAUACUGCUAGAAGAAGAAGAAGAAGAGUGGUUUGAUGUUUUUUAUAAAAAAAUACGGCCAUCAUUUAUCAGGAGUGGGAAAUGCCCACAGACAUUUUUCAUAUCGUCAACAGGGGAACCAAUUCACAGUGUGACGAAUGACAUCGCCCGGCUUCAUCAUAAGUUUAAAUUGCGCCCUGUCACAAGUCAAGAGGCUAGAAGGACAAUGGAGACAUACAUGGUCUCCCACUUUCAAACUGAUGCUCAGAGGAACAUGUUUGCCAGGUUGCUUGGCCAUUCAAAUGUGACUGCCGGAAGGAUAUAUGGCGAGAAGACCGUUGACAAUAUGGUAGAAGCGGCAGAAAUGAUGAAGAGGGCGAUGCAUGAAUCCCAGCCAUCAACAUCAAGGUGUCAAGAGGUGCCACAGAAGCCCCUGCAAGAAGAAACACCAGAAGUCUCCCGUGGGUUGAGGGAGGAAGCCUUUGAAAAAUUUAAAAAGUGCCACCCACUUACUAUUGAUGCCACGCCUCCUUGCUUAAAGGCAGCACUAGGCUUUUCCCGUGAGUACGGCCAGUACGUUUAUGACCGUUGGAGAAAACAGCAAAAUAAGAUGAGAGUGGAUUAUGUUGCUGGACUUCUCAAAUAUGAGAAUCCACAUGAAGAAAGAGAUGUAUCCAAGGCACUGGAUGGAAGACCAACUUGCCACCGAUAAGGGAUAUUUUGGAAACCUGUAACCCUCGGUAAUAGUGAAUCAGGUUUCUGAACACGUUCCAAGUGGAAUGGGCAUGAAUUCAACUUGAAAAAAGAUAAGUACACUUAUUUACUUCCCUCCCCGACACCUUGUCUCUCACGCACUCACUCUGCCUCUCUGAGUUAUAUUUGUUAUCAAAUUUAUAACAUAUGUUUUAUUUUUUAGGUCUAAAAAGAAGCACAACUUGGAUAUCAGAAUGGCCAUAAAUUCAUCCAGAAUAAGAUAAGUACACCUAUUUUAUACUUAUUUUCUGACAUUACUAUUUAGCAUUUUUUCUCUUUUUCUCCGCCCUUCUUUUUUUUUCUAAUGAACAAUACAUCGACACAGUUUAGAUAAUUGACUGUGACCAUUCUGAUAUCUAUAUUAUUUUUAGGCUUUAAAAAAUAAGCAGAGUCAUCACUGGAGUUUUUAGAGAGAAUGGUGAAAUACUUUGGCUUCUGAAGCAUUCCUCAUGUGAGAUGCAGAUGAGAAACCAGCACCUGAAACCAUCAAAAGAGUCUGAAGAGAUUGUCAGUCUACUGGAUAUGCCACAUGAGGGAAACCAUGAAAUACUUUGGACUUUUUUUUUUUUGAGGGGGGGGAGUUUUUAGAGAAAAUUGUGAAAUACUUUGUCUUCUGAAGCAUUCCUCAUGAGAGAUGCAGAUGAGACACCAGCACCUGAAACCAUCAAAAGAGUCUGAAGAGAUUGUCAGCCAACUGGAUCUGCCACAUGAAGGAAACCAUGAAAUACUUUGGACAUUUUUUUAAGGGGGUGGUGUUAUUUAAUUUUUCCUUCAGAGUGUUAAUAAAUGUUCCUUUACUUAUAAA
Molecule: RNA transcript, 3292 nt
Organism: Xenopus tropicalis (tropical clawed frog)
Lineage: Eukaryota; Metazoa; Chordata; Amphibia; Anura; Pipidae
Exons: 14
Source: RefSeq, a predicted model, not a curated record